This 253-nucleotide ribosomal RNA is filed under the name uncultured bacterium. RNAcentral describes it as "partial 16S ribosomal RNA". It matches the Rfam family "Bacterial small subunit ribosomal RNA", at positions 524 to 776 of the family's 1533-position model. The record is from RNAcentral.
UACGAAGGAUCCAAGCGUUAUCCGGAUUUAUUGGGUUUAAAGGGUGCGUAGGCGGAUUGAUAAGUCAAUGGUGAAAGCCCGCAGCUUACCUGCGGAAUUGCCGUUGAUACUGUCAGUCUUGAGUACAGUUGAGGUGGGCGGAAUGUGUCAUGUAGCGGUGAAAUGCUUAGAUAUGACACAGAACUCCGAUUGCGAAGGCAGCUCGCUACACUGUAACUGACGCUGAGGCACGAAAGCGUGGGUAUCAAACAGG